This 468-nucleotide ribosomal RNA is filed under the name uncultured bacterium. RNAcentral's name for it is "bacterial SSU rRNA". It matches the Rfam family "Bacterial small subunit ribosomal RNA", at positions 28 to 507 of the family's 1533-position model. The record is from RNAcentral.
GAUGAACGCUGGCGGCGUGCUUAACACAUGCAAGUCGAACGGACGGAUUGGAGCUUGCUCCAUGAAGUUAGUGGCGGACGGGUGAGUAACGCGUGGGUAACCUGCCCUAUGCAGGGGGAUAACGUUUGGAAACGAACGCUAAUACCGCAUGACCUAAUUGGUUCGCAUGAACUGAUUAGCAAAGAUUUUAUCGGCAUAGGAUGGACCCGCGUUGGAUUAGCUAGUUGGUGAGAUAAAAGCUCACCAAGGCGACGAUCCAUAGCCGGCCUGAGAGGGUGAACGGCCACACUGGGACUGAGACACGGCCCAGACUCCUACGGGAGGCAGCAGUGGGGAAUAUUGCACAAUGGGCGCAAGCCUGAUGCAGCGACGCCGCGUGAAGGAUGAAGGUUUUCGGAUCGUAAACUUCUAUCAGCAGGGAGGAACCAAAUGACGGUACCUGACUAAGAAGCCCCGGCUAACUACGUG